UACGUAGGGGACUAGCGUUAUCCGGAAUUACUGGGCGUAAAGGGUGCGUAGGUGGUUUCUUAAGUCAGAGGUGAAAGGCUACGGCUCAACCGUAGUAAGCCUUUGAAACUGGGAAACUUGAGUGCAGGAGAGGAGAGUGGAAUUCCUAGUGUAGCGGUGAAAUGCGUAGAUAUUAGGAGGAACACCAGUGGCGAAGGCGGCUUUCUGGACAGUAACUGACGCUGAGGCGCGAAAGCGUGGGGAGCAAACAGGAUUAGAUACCCUGGUAGUCCCUGAGCGGG
RNAcentral lists this ribosomal RNA (281 nucleotides) under uncultured prokaryote. Its description in RNAcentral is "partial 16S ribosomal RNA". It matches the Rfam family "Bacterial small subunit ribosomal RNA", at positions 524 to 803 of the family's 1533-position model. The record is from RNAcentral.